This 91-nucleotide transfer RNA is filed under the name Pleurotus ostreatus (oyster mushroom). It matches the Rfam family "tRNA". From Rfam's summary of the family: Transfer RNA (tRNA) molecules are approximately 80 nucleotides in length. Their secondary structure includes four short double-helical elements and three loops (D, anti-codon, and T loops). The record is from Rfam by way of RNAcentral. Lineage: Eukaryota; Fungi; Basidiomycota; Agaricomycetes; Agaricales; Pleurotaceae. RNAcentral also lists the same sequence under 2 other names.
GGCACUAUGGCCGAGUGGUUAAGGCGACAGAUUCGAAUCAAGUAGUAUCUGUUUGGGUUUCCCAGCGCAGGUUCAAAUCCUGCUGGUGUCG